RNAcentral lists this unclassified non-coding RNA (343 nucleotides) under Hevea brasiliensis (rubber tree). The record is from RNAcentral. Lineage: Eukaryota; Viridiplantae; Streptophyta; Magnoliopsida; Malpighiales; Euphorbiaceae.
UAUUUUCUCCUAAUGAAUUCAGAUCGCUCAUCUAUAGAGGCAUCUGGCGUUGGUUUUCUGUAUUCAUCUGGAAUGCAAGCUUCAUACUUCUUGUUUGCUAUAGUAUUGCCACCCAAAUCAAUGAAAUCAUUCACUUGUUCAUCUGUCCAUUCAUCUAGUUUGAUUGAUAGAACCUUUGAUAUAUGUACUCCAAGGCUUCUAUGAACACCAGAACACUUGAUACAAAUAAAUACUCCAUGACUUAAGGACACCCAUUUCGGAUCUGGUGAUCCACAAUCUGCACAAAUCUUAUUUCCUGAUUGACUCAGCAGUUUCUCCAGUUUUCGUUGUGGACCAGAAAUUU